UCAAAGCUAAUAAAUCAAUCGGGUAUAAAUAAGAUACAAAUUUAAAUACCAACAUAACAUAAAUUAACAUAGAAACACAUUAAAUAAUAUUAUAUAUAUGUAUUAUACGAGUGUCGACAUAAACAAAAUCAAAAUACCUCGAUUUAAGUUUUUCGAAUUUGAUUAAAAUUAAAAUUUUGCACCCAAAAGAAGGAAUCCAAAGCAUGUCUUGUGUGUA
RNAcentral lists this long non-coding RNA (217 nucleotides) under Nicotiana benthamiana. Its description in RNAcentral is "long non-coding RNA (NBEN_LNC038457)". Lineage: Eukaryota; Viridiplantae; Streptophyta; Magnoliopsida; Solanales; Solanaceae. The record is from RNAcentral.